This 71-nucleotide transfer RNA is filed under the name Loxodonta africana (African savanna elephant). It matches the Rfam family "tRNA". Rfam says of the family: Transfer RNA (tRNA) molecules are approximately 80 nucleotides in length. Their secondary structure includes four short double-helical elements and three loops (D, anti-codon, and T loops). The record is from Rfam by way of RNAcentral. Lineage: Eukaryota; Metazoa; Chordata; Mammalia; Proboscidea; Elephantidae.
GCAUUCGUGGUUCAGUGAUGGAAUUUUUGCUUUCCAUGUGAGAGACCCAGGUUCAAUUCCCGGCCAACGCA